Long non-coding RNA from Salvia splendens (bonfire salvia), 191 nucleotides. RefSeq lists it as uncharacterized. The record is from RefSeq and is a predicted model, not a curated record. The transcript has 3 exons. Lineage: Eukaryota; Viridiplantae; Streptophyta; Magnoliopsida; Lamiales; Lamiaceae.
AAAACCAGAAUUAAAAUCGGGAAAAGAUUCAUCAUCUACUCUUUCAAAAUCCGUCUGCAAAUUGAAGGUGAUAUCUCGCAAGGGAAUCGUGAACGCAAAGGGAAGAAAAUAGUUUCGGAUUAAGCAAUCGAGGUUGAGCGGCGACGAGGAUGUGGUGGUGUUGAGCAAGUGAAUUUAAGAUUUUAUUGUUG